GCUAACCUGGCAAGGUGGUUGGAAAGUCAUGGAUUGAGGAUUGUGACUUUGAUGAAUUACAGCAGCCCACCUUCCAUGAGUUUGGCGAAGAGGUAGUCGAAGACCAUCUGCACUAGCCCCGCCCUAGCACUGCUCUCGCCUGCCAUGGUGUAGGACUUGCCUGACCCACUCUCCCCCGUCACCAGCAGACAUACGUUGAAGCCUGACAUCAGCAUCUCCAGCAGCAGCUCUACCGUGUUCCGGAAGAUGUCAUACGUGGUAGAAUCCCUCAUGAAAAGGUUCUGGAAACUAGAAAAUUGAAACCAUCUUUUCAGCUUUGCUAAAAGUUGAUAUCUAUCUACAUAAAGCAGUUUCUAGAAAUCCUUCCAAACUAUUUUUGACACUUUUAAAGAAAUUAUAAUAUAGUGAAAGAAGUGACAUGAGAAGAAGGUUUUACGCAACGCACAAACAUGCCUCCAGUCUGCAAAAAAUUAGAUAAUAGAUGCUGAAAACCCCAAAUACUGCAUCCGGAGAGACGCACAAAAAUACCUACAGCACAUCAAGAUUAGUUAUCUGUGUGUGUUAUUUCACCCAUCAGUCAUGACCAUUGUCCACAUGAUCACUGAUUCAUUUCAGGCUCUGAAGUCAUUAUCUGAACGUACCGUACACAACAUCAUUUCAAUACUUGACAGGACCCUCAUAUUACCGACAAGGAACUGUAAAAUGUAUUGAUGGGGGUCCCUGGACCAGCACUUUUGUAAGUCAUGGUAAAACACUGCAUGAGACUUAUUUCUGGUCAAUUCUAUACAUUUGUGCAUAACCAAUGCACAUUUGUGAUGCGUAAACCCUGGGCGGCUCUAAACUUUUUAUCUCAAUAUAGGGGAGGGUCAGGGUUUAAUAACACAGUAACACAGACAGGUCUUUGUCUGCAUUUCAGUUAUUUUACAGUGAUAUUGGUCCCAUGAGGUAUGGGGUUCAGAAGGUGGGGUUUCCCCGACCCAAGAAUCCCCAUUUCCAUCCCUAACUAACACCAAUAACCAUUGCCAUUAUAAUGAAAGGAUAAAAUUGAAAAGAAACACAUUAAUCUUAAUACUGGACACCUUACAUUGAUAUCAACAUGAAAGAAACUUAUGUAAAAAAUGCAUAGUUUUUAAAAAAGGUAAGUAUUUACUUGAAGAAAUGUCCUCCUGGUGCUGUCAACCUCUGUGUUCCUUCAACUGAUACGUUUUCCUUCCCCUCCCCUGGGACAAGGGGACGGAUGCGCCCACUGACUUCAAUGUUCAUGGCUCCCUGUAAUGUUGAAACUGGGAUGAGAAGAAAAUGACUGUCAUCAUAUAGCAAAAUGUUAAUGUCUACAGUAGUUGGCCAUAAGUUAGUCAUCAUUAUUGAAAUUCCCAUAGACCUGCAUGUCAUUUAAAUCGUGCAAGAAGAAUUUUCAUUAUUCAACCACUGUAGCUGCUUAGUACAUAAUUCUAUGUUUUUGUAAUUGUUAAAGUAUUUGUACUGGUGUCAGUUAAUUAAUUUGUCCUUACAUCGUUUGUUCACAAGCUCUUAAGUAAGUAAAAUGAUUUAAAAUAAAAGGUAUAAAAUUAACAGUAUUAUUGUUGUCCCACGGUUGCAAAAGAUAUUAUCAUUUGAUAACACCUCCAGUACGUGUCACAUACCGAUAAUAGAAAAAAGGCAAACGGUACUGCUGAUACUCAUAUGUUGGGUGAGUUUGCGUACAGAAACGAAAAAAAGAUUUCGGUAAUUUGGUAAUAGAAAUAUAGUCUAUCUACAUAGUUAUGCGCUUUCUAAUCGAAAUGUCAGAUUUGUAAAAUAUUUUCUUAUCAGAAACAAUAUUAAUAAUUCAGAUCUGUGUUUUUGUUUUUGCAUCGUUUAUAGAUACAUUGAAAUGUAACAGAUACCUUGAAAUAAAGAAACCACACUGAGCAAA
RNAcentral lists this long non-coding RNA (1915 nucleotides) under Haliotis rubra (blacklip abalone). RNAcentral describes it as "uncharacterized LOC124292518". Lineage: Eukaryota; Metazoa; Mollusca; Gastropoda; Lepetellida; Haliotidae. The record is from RNAcentral.